RNAcentral lists this long non-coding RNA (632 nucleotides) under Gorilla gorilla gorilla (western lowland gorilla). Its description in RNAcentral is "lncRNA (ENSGGOG00000044706.1)". The record is from RNAcentral. Lineage: Eukaryota; Metazoa; Chordata; Mammalia; Primates; Hominidae.
UUUCUCUUUGAGAAACACACGCUUGAUAGCAUUUGUAAUGAAUCGUCACCUUCAGUGAGAGCCUCUUCAAAAAACUGCACAUACUGGCAUGGACAGGACAUUUCCUCUUCUUUGCAACCCUGAACCUGGGAUCUCAUUCGUCAAUACGGGGGCCACCAGAGGAGAGACUGAGGGCUGGCUAAUGCUCCUUCAGCGUGAUGCCUGUGAGCCAUGGUAAUGCAUGAUGGCAUCACAAGCAGGACUAGAGAGUUUUGCCUCCAUCCUCCAGGCCAAGAAUUCAGAUGAAGAACAGGAGAACUACAAGCAAACACCAGUACUCUAAAUUACACCUUUAUCAUGCAGCUGGCAGGCACUGACUGAGCACCCAAGAUCUCCAAACAUCAUGCUAUGAGACACAAAAGAUGCUCUGUGGUCCUUGGCCAUCAAAACAUCCAUGUUCCGCCACCCAUCUCUGGGGCUGAGGGUGUCUGCUGGGCCAAAUUGUCUGCCGGUGACAGAGAGAAACCAACAGAAAGAGAGACAGAUGCCCUUGACAAACAGCACACUCUGCACUACACCUGUGUGACUUGUCACCAAGAGAUGUCCAACAGUGGAUGAUCAGAGAUGGGGAGAAAGCAGCUCACUUAUUUUUC